Molecule: ribosomal RNA, 350 nt
Filed under: uncultured bacterium
Lineage: Bacteria
Description: bacterial SSU rRNA
Rfam family: Bacterial small subunit ribosomal RNA
Source: RNAcentral
GGGCCCGCACAAGCAGCGGAGCGUGUUGCUUAAUUCGAUGCAACGCGAAAAACCUUACCUACUCUUGACAUACUUGGAAGCUCUUGUAAUGAGAGUGUGCCUUUUGGAACCAAGAUACAGGUGCUGCAUGGCUGUCGUCAGCUCGUGUCGUGAGAUGUUCCGUUAAGUCGGAUAACGAGCGCAACCCUUACCCUUAUUUGCCAGCGAUUCGGUCGGGAACUAUAAGGGGACUGCCGGUGAUAAACCGGAGGAAGGUGAGGACGACGUCAAGUCAUCAUGGCCCUUACGAGUAGGGCUACACACGUGCUACAAUGGGGAAUACGACGGACGCUAAGCCGCGAGGUGGUGCU